Molecule: ribosomal RNA, 409 nt
Filed under: uncultured bacterium
Lineage: Bacteria
Description: bacterial SSU rRNA
Rfam family: Bacterial small subunit ribosomal RNA
Source: RNAcentral
CAGCAGCCGCGGUAAUACGAAGGGUGCAAGCGUUACUCGGAAUUACUGGGCGUAAAGCGUGCGAUAGGUGGUGCGUUAAGUCUGUCGUGAAAUCCCCGGGCUUAACCUGGGAACUGCACUUGUGACUGCAUGGCUAGAGUGCGGCAGAGGGGGAUGGAAUUCCGCGUGUAGCAGUGAAAUGCGUAGAUAUGCGGAGGAACACCGGUGGCGAAGGCGGCCCUCUGGACGGAUACUGACGCUGAGACGCGAAAGCGUGGGAGCAAACAGGAUUAGAUACCCUGGUAGUCCUAGCCGUAAACUAUGACGACUAGGUGUUGGCUCACAUCUGUGGGUCAGUGCCGUAGGUAACCUGUUAAGUCGUCCACCUGGGGAGUACGGCCGCAAGGUUGAAACUCAAAGGAAUUGACGG